UACGUAGGGUGCGAGCGUUAAUCGGAAUUACUGGGCGUAAAGCGUGCGCAGGCGGCGCGUUAAGACAGGUGUGAAAGCCCCGAGCUUAACUUGGGAAUUGCGCUUGUGACUGGCGUGCUGGAGUGUGGCAGAGGGAGGUGGAAUUCCACGUGUAGCAGUGAAAUGCGUAGAGAUGUGGAGGAAUACCGAUGGCGAAGGCAGCCUCCUGGGCCAACACUGACGCUCAUGCACGAAAGCGUGGGGAGCAAACAGG
RNAcentral lists this ribosomal RNA (253 nucleotides) under uncultured bacterium. Its description in RNAcentral is "partial 16S ribosomal RNA". It matches the Rfam family "Bacterial small subunit ribosomal RNA", at positions 524 to 776 of the family's 1533-position model. The record is from RNAcentral.